This 121-nucleotide small nucleolar RNA is filed under the name Echinops telfairi (small Madagascar hedgehog). RNAcentral's name for it is "Small nucleolar RNA SNORA61 (ENSETEG00000026797.1)". Lineage: Eukaryota; Metazoa; Chordata; Mammalia; Afrosoricida; Tenrecidae. The record is from RNAcentral.
ACCCUCCAGAUUCCAUGCCCAUCGGAUGGAAGCUCUGGGCUGGGUGGUUAGAAAAGGAAGAAUAGUCUAAUUGAAACAGAUUUAAGUUUUUAUGUGACACACGACCCAAUUUCAAGCAAAA